Molecule: ribosomal RNA, 484 nt
Filed under: Acinetobacter venetianus
Lineage: Bacteria; Pseudomonadati; Pseudomonadota; Gammaproteobacteria; Moraxellales; Moraxellaceae
Description: bacterial SSU rRNA
Rfam family: Bacterial small subunit ribosomal RNA
Source: RNAcentral
AGCUUGCUACUGGACCUAGCGGCGGACGGGUGAGUAAUGCUUAGGAAUCUGCCUAUUAGUGGGGGACAACAUUCCGAAAGGAAUGCUAAUACCGCAUACGUCCUACGGGAGAAAGCAGGGGACCUUCGGGCCUUGCGCUAAUAGAUGAGCCUAAGUCGGAUUAGCUAGUUGGUGGGGUAAAGGCCUACCAAGGCGACGAUCUGUAGCGGGUCUGAGAGGAUGAUCCGCCACACUGGGACUGAGACACGGCCCAGACUCCUACGGGAGGCAGCAGUGGGGAAUAUUGGACAAUGGGGGGAACCCUGAUCCAGCCAUGCCGCGUGUGUGAAGAAGGCCUUAUGGUUGUAAAGCACUUUAAGCGAGGAGGAGGCUACUAGUAUUAAUACUACUGGAUAGUGGACGUUACUCGCAGAAUAAGCACCGGCUAACUCUGUGCCAGCAGCCGCGGUAAUACAGAGGGUGCGAGCGUUAAUCGGAUUUACUG